RNAcentral lists this long non-coding RNA (273 nucleotides) under Phoenix dactylifera (date palm). Its description in RNAcentral is "long non-coding RNA (PDAC_LNC015166)". Lineage: Eukaryota; Viridiplantae; Streptophyta; Magnoliopsida; Arecales; Arecaceae. The record is from RNAcentral.
UGUCUAUCCGGCUUCUUUAAUCAGUUUCGUUCUCAAGUAUACCAUUAGUAUGGUCACCCGACUUUCUCCAAACUGUUGGAUAAUCUCAUCCACAACCUCUUUCUGAUCCAUGGACUCAAUCAACUCCUUAUUUCGGUUCUCAACAUUUCCUCAUAAGAUCUGAACACAUCCCUGCAUAGCUUGAUCUAGCAUCCAAACAAGGCCGAAAAGAUAGCUUACGAGAAUGCUCCUCCAAGCAUCCUAUCUCGGUCCUCUUUCCUUCUCUCGUCCGCC